RNAcentral lists this long non-coding RNA (318 nucleotides) under Elaeis guineensis (African oil palm). RNAcentral's name for it is "long non-coding RNA (EGUI_LNC057035)". The record is from RNAcentral. Lineage: Eukaryota; Viridiplantae; Streptophyta; Magnoliopsida; Arecales; Arecaceae.
CAGUAGAAUAGUCAGAAACAUACUAUUGCCCAUCCUAGCUCCAUGGCUCCCCUUUGUAUAGCUUAACUGAUGAUAAGCUUAUUCUUGGCAGCAUAUUGUCGUCCAGCCGUAAGGAUUUGUAUAGCCUCCUAGAAAGUUUAACUAAAAGAAUUUAUUUUUGAUCAUUCCUGUCCAUGCGUGAAGACCAACUUUUAGAACCAGUGAGUGACAAAUGUUCCACUGUUGCUGGAAUAGGAAGAGGAGGGAAGAAAAGCAAGCCCCAAAGAAAACAACAUGUCACAAAUAAUAUUUGAAACUAAGGGACAGAUGAUUGCUAGA